GUGGGGAAUAUUGGACAAUGGGCGAAAGCCUGAUCCAGCCAUGCCGCGUGUGUGAAGAAGGUCUUCGGAUUGUAAAGCACUUUAAGUUGGGAGGAAGGGCAGUAAGUUAAUACCUUGCUGUUUUGACGUUACCGACAGAAUAAGCACCGGCUAACUUCGUGCCAGCAGCCGCGGUAAUACGAAGGGUGCAAGCGUUAAUCGGAAUUACUGGGCGUAAAGCGCGCGUAGGUGGUUCAGUAAGUUGGAAGUGAAAUCCCCGGGCUCAACCUGGGAACUGCUUUAAAAACUGCUGAGCUAGAGUACGGUAGAGGGUGGUGGAAUUUCCUGUGUAGCGGUGAAAUGCGUAGAUAUAGGAAGGAACACCAGUGGCGAAGGCGACCACCUGGACUGAUACUGACACUGAGGUGCGAAAGCGUGGGGAGCAAACAGGAUUAGAUACCCGGGUAGUCC
Molecule: ribosomal RNA, 450 nt
Filed under: uncultured bacterium
Lineage: Bacteria
Description: partial 16S ribosomal RNA
Rfam family: Bacterial small subunit ribosomal RNA
Source: RNAcentral